Molecule: long non-coding RNA, 2024 nt
Organism: Gadus chalcogrammus (walleye pollock)
Lineage: Eukaryota; Metazoa; Chordata; Actinopteri; Gadiformes; Gadidae
Exons: 3
Source: RefSeq, a predicted model, not a curated record
UAUUCCGCGAGGGGGUUUGGGUCCUUGUCACCUUUUUCAUCCCUGAUGAGUUUGCACCCCUGAAAAUAUAGUGGAGCAGCCUUUAAAGUGCGUAUUGGAAGUUAAUUUUUUUUUUAAUAUUUAUACAUAACAUUCUCUGAAAAUUGCCCUUUGAAAUUGAAAUGCAGGAUUUUAUCAGUUAAAAAUAUUAUAUCGGCAAAAAUUCCAGUUUUAAAGUGACUAUUUUGAGCAAGGCUUCAAAAACCAUUGUUUUUUUAUGUGAUACGUCAAACGCGUCAUAUUACGUAGGAAUUGGUAGACGCGGUCGCUGUUGCUGCCUCAGCUCUAUGUAGUUGUGAGUAGUUACCGCGGUGAGCGGUCUUGUAUUCACCCCCCCUGUGGUUUUGGGGUUUUUCUAAUCGGUGAGAUGAGGUUUUGUAUCUGUGGGGGUUGUUCCAACUCCGACCUCCUGUCCGACCAUCUCAGAUUUCACAGUUUCCCCGAUCGGAGAAAGGAUGGAGCAGCCUUUCGAGCCUGGGUGCAUUUUGUACAGGUGAAGAGAAAGGACUUUCUUUUCGCCUCUGUCACCAAAUACUCGUUCAUUUGCGCGGCUCACUUUAGACCAGAGGACUAUGUUUCCGGGGACAUGAUGGAGUUCAAGAUGGGUUUUCGGAGCGAGAAACGAGUGAGGCUGAAAGCCGGUGUGGUUCCCUCAAUUCAUGCCGCUCCAGCCGCAGCUUCGGGCUCAGCCACCGGCGGCAGUGAAGAUCAUGGACCGGUCAGAGAUUCAACGAUUCGGAAACGUGAACUGUGCACUGUAAGUUUUGUUUUCUGACGUUUACUAACUUCCUACAUUAGUCAACAUAAUGACUUAUGGUCAGUAUCUUUUAUUGUAAAGCAGCUUUGCUGUCUUGUAAAAUCCAUCAGUUUAUACUGUAAACAUGCUAAAAUGUUAGCUAGCAACAGCAUCCUAUUUUAUGAAACUUUUAUGAAAUCAUCGUCAUUAAGUUACCUGUUUAGCCGUUAACCGUCGACUAGAACAUAAAGCAAUUUAACUAUUCAAAAUGUUAUAAAACAACUUUAAAAUAAUACAAAUUAAUUAAAUAUAUAUGGGAUAGGGGGUGAGUCAGCGAUUUUUUGGCUAGGUGAUUGACACUGACAGGCUGACGCCAUGAUGAUGCUCCUUUGAGACGACUAUGGAACUCCUAAAAAAGCUAAUUUCUUGUGGUUAAAACGUUAUUCAGAGACAGUUUCCGAGGCUGUUCACUUUGUUGGAGCGGUAUUUGUGCUUUCCUGAACAUCAGGCACUAGGCUACCACAUGAGCGGUUUUUCAACGUCAGUGCGCACCGUGCGCACUAGACUGCCUGUCGAUAUGUUGCCGUUUCUAAAUAAACUAGUAGACUAUCAGGCUAUCGGCUAUCAGGGAUUUUAAAAAGUUUGAAAUGAAAUAGUAUAUGUAAUGUUUUUCUUAUUAGUUGCUGGGAAAUACGGCACGUUUUGAAGCCACAGAUGCGCCUACAGCCAGUGAAGACUCGGAGCAAGAGGCCGUCGCUUCCCUGGCUUCUCAGCCAAAAUCUGUGCUUCACUUUGGCUCACAGUGUCACAUAAGACCUCCUUAUCGUUCAUCAGCUAUCCAGGUACAGACACAGACGGUCAGUGUGGGGACACAGACCGAACUCUGUGUAUCAUCAAUUCCACUGCCCAGUCCAGUACAAACAGAGGAUGAAUCAUCCUCUGUUUCAAGAGAUCAACCAGAUGACAGGUCAUGGAGUGAAGUGGAAGAGAUGAGCGUGUCAUCUUCUGAGGAGGAGUCAGAGCCACAGCAGGGUUCUCAGUGGGACUUCGGAGUUGCAGACAAGUUCAUUGUCUGUCUCACCCAGCUGAUGGCUCUCUUCACCAUUUGUCCUGCCUGUUGUGGGGAAACCCAUGGUAACGUGGAGCAGCAGCAGGGAACAUUUGUUCAGAUCAAGCAAGUAAGAGGAUAUUGUACUCAUAUAAAAGUAAAGAUGUGUGCUAACCUGUAUUUAUAUUGUAUAUAUUGUGU